AGACGUAUAGCUCAGUGGUAGAGUGUGUGCUUGGCAUGCACAAGUUCCUGGGUUCAAUCCCCCAUAGCUCCA
This 72-nucleotide transfer RNA is filed under the name Camelus bactrianus (Bactrian camel). It matches the Rfam family "tRNA". Rfam says of the family: Transfer RNA (tRNA) molecules are approximately 80 nucleotides in length. Their secondary structure includes four short double-helical elements and three loops (D, anti-codon, and T loops). RNAcentral also lists the same sequence under 2 other names. The record is from Rfam by way of RNAcentral. Lineage: Eukaryota; Metazoa; Chordata; Mammalia; Artiodactyla; Camelidae.